RNAcentral lists this long non-coding RNA (2018 nucleotides) under Triticum aestivum (bread wheat). Its description in RNAcentral is "long non-coding RNA (TAES_LNC013920)". Lineage: Eukaryota; Viridiplantae; Streptophyta; Magnoliopsida; Poales; Poaceae. The record is from RNAcentral.
UACAAUAUUUUACAAACAAUUUAGAUACAACAACCUGAUCUUUGUUUUCCUUUUCACAAGAAGCUAUUUUUGGCUUACAUGAAGGGAUGCAUGCUGUUCAUCUUGCAGGUAUGACUCAUCCUCGCAUUCUUACUUCGCCUUUGUUUCCUUCAGCUUCUUGAUCCUGAAAUUUUAAGAUAAAUUGGAAGUACUCAGUAUCAUGUUCUUAAGCAAAGCUACUGUUUUUUGGUUGAAUUAUAGUGUUUUCUCUGACCUAUGUAUAGUGUCAAUAAAAAUCUAAAUUACAAGAUGGAGAUACAUUUUUUGGUGGCAUCUUACAUCACAGUAAUUUACAACCAAGAUAGGCCUACAAUGUCUUUUUGAUAGCAACGAUAAUGCAUAGCUGCAGAUUUUGUCGAAUACACAUAUGUAUUUUGUAUGCAUGACAAAUACUGGGGUAAAAUAGAAUAACAAGUAAAUCAUUUAUUUUGUCUUCAUAUUUACUUGAAGGACUGCAUGUUCUUCAUCUUUGUAUGCACCAUGUAUUUGCUUGUAAGCUUCAGUAGUGUCAUCUAUCUAGUCUGAUUUAUACACUACAUUCCUAAGCUGAAAUAUUUUUUGUAACUGAAAUAUAUAGUUUGAGUUUCAUUCAGUUAUUUUUCACUUUUUAACUGAAUAUCUUUUUGUAACUGAAAUAUACCUGCACUUACAAUGCCUUACUCAUAGGGUUUCUUUGUAACUGAAAUAUAAGCUCUGUCCAGUAAGCAUUUCUUCACCCUUGGGCAACUUUGCACAAAUGGACUGUGUAUUACACUCCAAGUGCUUCUUUUUGUUAUGGAUAGUUCGGUCUAUGAACCAUGUGAUCAAUGUUUGAUUUCAUACUGCUGUAUCGUUGUCCUUUGCUGCAUUUGAUGGACUUGUAAACUAUCUCUGCAGCACAAAAUUUGACCAUGGAGAUGACUAACAUGGCUUCUCUGUCUUAUGCUCUAUUUGUCAGUGAAAAAUCUUGCACCUUGACCGACAGAAUUAAGAGGGACUAGAAUGGGGAAGGACCUCUGCUAUAUCACGAUGGAACUGGUUACUUGAAUGUGAAUGGCCAACUCCAUGCCAGCUAUCUUUUAAUCUUACUAUGCUUUUGCAUUAUCUUCUUCAGUGAGAAGUUGUUAUAUGCUAGAAGACUAGCUUCAAACUCAAUUUAGAACAGACCUAAAUGCAUUCUUUGUCCAGUAGUUAAUUUGGACAUGCCACUUUCUGGCUUGCUCAUAAAUAUCUUGGCUGUUUUGACCCUCAAGCCGUCCAUUAGUCCUAUGCUGCUGUACCAGUGCACCUGAUUUUUAUUCUACCAGUUAAUUCAAAAAUGCCUCUAGAUAUGUGCUUCAUCCACUUACUGCAUAUGAUAUCUCCCUAUAUUUUCCUGAACCAUUUAACUGAUUUUUGUUGUAGUCCAAAAUUAUAUGUUUAUGUUUAUUGCCUUUUUUAGUGUUGAUAUUUGAAAGGGAACAAGGCAACGUGUUGCACUCUUGCUUUUGUUAGAGCACUAUCUUUUAUUGUUAACCAUGCUAUGGUCCAAACUCCUCUUUAUUCUGCUCAUAUGAUAUUGCUCAUCUUUUGUUUUCUGUCCUGAUGCCUCCUGUAUUUAGAGUAGAAAUAUUCUUAAUUUAGUGUUUCUUGAACAUGGCCAGGGCAAUGGAUAAAAUCUACUUUGGAGAGUUGACAGAGGGAGCACAUGCUAAGUUGACUUUUUCCUAUGGAUUUGCUUAUCGUGAAGAUGCUUGCAAGGAUGCAAAGGGAGCAGAUCAUUUGGAGAGAUGCCACUGUUUGGUGUUUUUAUACAUUUUGGUUUGCUUGUAACUGUGUUUGCACUAGCUGGGAGUAAGUGACUUGGCAAGAAGUGUAGGUGUUUUAAUUGAAGGCCUGAAAACCAUGACAAUUUUGUAUGCUGUUACAGUAUGUGCUCUAAUGUCGCUGGUUUAUUAUAAAUCUUGGAUUAGUAAUGGUGUGUAAUGCUGCUGGUUUAUUGCAAAUAUGUGUUUGUUUUA